RNAcentral lists this ribosomal RNA (493 nucleotides) under uncultured bacterium. RNAcentral describes it as "bacterial SSU rRNA". It matches the Rfam family "Bacterial small subunit ribosomal RNA", at positions 10 to 518 of the family's 1533-position model. The record is from RNAcentral.
AGUUGAUCAUGGCUCAGGACGAACGCUGGCGGCGUGCCUAACACAUGCAAGUCGAGCGAGGGAGGGGCUCGGUCCCGAACCGAGCGGCGGACGGGUGAGUAACGCGUGAAUGAUCUGUCCCUCACAGGGGAAUAACACUUGGAAACAGGUGCUAAUACCGCAUAAGACCACGGUGCUGCAUGGCACUGAGGUAAAAGGAGCGAUCCGGUGAGGGGUGAGUUCGCGUCCGAUUAGCCAGUUGGCGGGGUAAGAGCCCACCAAAGCGACGAUCGGUAGCCGACCUGAGAGGGUGAUCGGCCACACUGGAACUGAGACACGGUCCAGACUCCUACGGGAGGCAGCAGUGGGGAAUAUUGGGCAAUGGGCGAAAGCCUGACCCAGCAACGCCGCGUGAGGGAAGAAGGUUUUCGGAUUGUAAACCUCUAUCGCAGGGGACGAAGGAAGUGACGGUACCCUGCAAGGAAGCCCCGGCUAACUACGUGCCAGCCGCCGC